UGUUAAGUUCUAGAAAUAAAGAAAUGACAGUGAGAGGGGAGACAGAUCCGUACGUCAACCAAUUUAUAGUUUAAUGAAGAAAACAGACAAGUAGACAAAAAAUUCAUAUUCAAUGUAAGUACUGUACUAAGGUAGAGCAAAAUAAAGGAUCCUCUCUACGAAAGGCAGCCUGAGUGGUUAAGGAAAUUCCCUGGAAUGCAAUGAUUUAGAUCAGAGCUGAGUCUUGAAAGACUGGAAGCCUUGCCUAUGCAUCUCGGUCCACAGUCUCCUUGCCAGCAUUCAUCAGCCAGUGCAAACAUUUAUAGAGCAUGUUUGCAGGGCUCUGGCUUGGGUCCUUGGUGAGUCAGUACUCUUCUCCCUCAAGAAGGAUGAGUCCCCACACACAAAGUGGGAUUCUCCACCCAGUCAGAGCUCAUCUAGUGGCUCAGGAGGAAUUGCACUGGUCAGACGGCUCAGACCACGAAGACUGGGGAUUCUAAUUUCAGUUUUGCAUAUUGAGGAAGAAGAAAAUUAGUCAACUUCAUUUUGCAAGCAUCUAUACCUCAUUCCACCCCAACAUCUCUCUUUUAUUCAGCAAGUCAGUAAACCUUUUCUUCCCCUCAAUUGCUGAAUUUAGCUACUUAUCAUAAGGCCUAUUAGAUUUUCGCUUUUACUUUUGAUAUUUCAGCCUUGAGGUAAGGCUGGUGGCACCGCAUUCGGUUGGUUUUUAUGUUACUGGAACAAUAUUUUCUUUUCUUCCCUGUGUGGGCUCUCCUGUGUUUUUUCUUUCAUGAGAUUUUUAGAAUGCUUAUGAUUCCACGGGUUCCACAUGAGCCAUUUCCAAGGAAAAUGGGCCACAUGAGGUCAUGGAUCACGUGGUCACCACCAUGACGUAAGGGAGUGAGGGUCCCCAGUUUCACCACAAAAGUAUUAGGCUGCCUCUUUUUUAAGUCCUAUCUUGACUGCUAAGCAUCUUGAAAGAUAGUUUCUUUUAGAGACUAAUCUCCCUGGAUUUUCCAGCAGAAUAAGAGUCAAGAUCAUCUAAUCUAUAAAUGACAAACUGGUGGCCUGCAGGGCAAAUUUGACCAGACUGACAGAUUUUGUUUGGCAUUCAUGGUAUUUUUAAACAUUUUAAUUAAGUUGCCCACAAAUCAAACUUAGAUGAUUUCACAUAAAAAUCUGAAUUUCCAGCUUGUUUUAAAAAACUGGAAGAUUUGGCGUAAUUCAGCCCACACUCCAAUUAGGAUCAGUUCUUGCAGGAGUAAUAGCUACCUCUGAAACAGAGAUGCGUGUUCUCCAUCUCACCUUAACCACCACCCCACCCCAAUCUCCCCUCAGUGAAUUGCACUCUGAGCCUUUGCAGGCAUCUUCCGUUCCUGAACUAGUCCAACUCCUCCACUUUACAGAAAAAGAAAUUGAGACCCAGAGAGACCUCAAGAUUUUCCUGGGCUUAGAGUUGGUGAUACAACCAGAACCAGAACUUGAACAUGAGUCUCUGCUCCACUUUCUACUUCAAGAUGCUGUCUUUCCUAUUUACAUCCAUGACCGACUGCUCACCAUGAUUAACCGCUUCAGGCCAGUGUCCUAGCCAAGACUGCAGAAGGACUGGACAACCCCAAACUCUAAGCGACAAGGAAUCAUGGCUCGAAUCCUAACAUUUGGAUUUUGAAGAGGUUUGAUUAUUUUGACUUAUUUUUUUUCACCCAACACCUAUUUUCUUUUCUGCGGCACAUUGUAUCAGGUGGAUACGAAAGUAACAGGCAAAUGUUUUUCUGGUCAUUGUACGUCUGUGUCCAUAAGAGGAAGUGUUGUUCCUGCUGACAAGGAUUUCUAGUUAGCUUGAUGGGGAUAGUCCAUUUGAAAUAUUAUGCCACUGUCCCAGAUUCAUUUUAUAACACAGAUGCGGUAGAUUUUCAUUUUACCCUUGCGCCUGGUGCGACUUAGUCAGCAAACAUUAUUGUACACUCUUAAUCAUGAGCUUCUUUCCAAAAACAUCCUGUCGGUUCUUAUGGAGUUGACGCUUUUCUGAGUGUGAAAUGGUGCUUUCCCCACAGAGCUCCUUCACACCAGCCAGGAGCCUAACAGAAUCCAAAAGCUAAGACUUCCCUCUUUCUGAACAUAUUGGUGGGUUGUUAUUAGUCUUGCUGGUUCCCCAGGAAGCUCAUGAACAGAAAGUCCUGCCUCUGUACUUUUUAAUGAAUGAGAGGCCCAUCCCAACAAAAGCAUGAAAACUUCAGAUUGGCUAGUGUCUUUUUAUAGCCCUUUUCUUUCCCAAGAGAUGCCCGGGACCUCACAAUGAGGUGCUUUGUAAGCCUCACACCAAGGUUGCUUUGGCACCUCCGUCACACAGAGCAUGUGCAGACUGUGACAGGCUUCCAGGGAAGCCACUGCCCACAUGUGCUUCUCUGGUUCCCUCAUUGGUGUUCGGGCAGAGGAGGCUGGUUCCUCCCGGUGAGCUGGGUGCUAUGACAGAUUAGACUUCCACGCACGAAAAUACACCCUGCACAUUUGAUGUACUGCUUUAAACUUAAAGACCUCUUGAGAGCCGAAAUUGUAAGGCCUUUCAAGUCACAAUGUGGAAACCAAGCAUUUUUCAGACGACUGCAUGUUAAAAUGCACCUUACGGAUAUUUACCCUACUGAGGACAAGUUUUGCUCUCAUUUACAAUCCAGGCCAAAAGAUAGCACUUUGAAGGUAUGGGCCACAGAAAUGACUCUUUCACCACAUAAAAUCUAAAUAAAAUCUGUUUCCUCUGACCCAGUGGUAGAAAUUUGGAGGCCUCCUCCUCUCCUUAAGGUCACUCUGCUUUGUUUAAUGGCACAGGGUUAAAAACACAAACUCUGAAGUCCCACUCUCUCCAUUCAAAGCCACACUACAAGCUUACUAGUUGCAAGACCUUGAUUACUUACUUAACUUCUGUGUCUCAGAUGUUCCAUUUAACGGGUGAUGACAGUACCUACCACAGAGGCUUGCUGUGGGUCGUAAAUGAAAUAAUGGUGUCUGGCACCCAAAACACUCCCAAUAAAGAUACAUAGAGUAUUAUUCAUUCCUUCUUGGUGCUUCCAUGAUUAGCGUGUUUUGGUCACAAGCUGAGUUGAACACUACUUUCAGAAGGAUGCAAAAUCUGAGUUUAGAAAAGAUAAUGCUACCGAAAUUAUUAUGCAAUAUUACUCCAGGACUCCUGGAGAUUAACAGCAAUUCUAAGCUGUUAGAGAUCUCAGAGGUCUUUUGCUCCAACUCUCUGCUUGUGUGGGUGGCAUAACUGGGCCCCAGGUCCUGCUGAGCCAGCGAGUGUUCUCACACAGGCAUAGUAAAGCAGCAAUAAUGCUUUGUUGUCUUGACUCAUUUUUUAAACAUAGAGUUUCGGAAUAAAGUAGUGGGAGCAGUUGUUUCCUAUUCUUCUUCAACUAGGAGAAGAGAUUUUUGAAAAAAUUAGCACCUUUCUUUCCAGUUAUGCUUCAGACUUUGAAACGGAAAGAAGGUUUAGGAUCUCAGCUUCCUGAAUAGUCCCGUGGUUAGGGUGACCAAACUCCCAUUUUCCAGAUAGAGUGCCGAUUUACGCCCGAUGCCCUGGCAUCCCAUCAGAUUAGCACUCCAUUUCACUCUCAAAAGUGUCUGAGUUUGGAUGGUGAAUGUUAUGAUUUCCCUACCCAAAAUGCUAUUUCAACAAGAGCAGUGGCGAGAGAAGUUGCUGAGCUUUGAAGUCUUCCUUUCCAGGAGGACAGGGAGAAAUCCUAUUUCCUGUGUUCUUUAAAGUAGAGGACUAAGGGGCUACAACAACCAUGAUCAUAUCUUCUACCAUAUAUGGAGCAUUUAAUAUGAGCAAUGAUCUGUACUACGUCUGCUGCAUCCAUUUUCUUUCAACUCUCUGAGGUAGGUAUUUCAUUUUCAUUUAUCGGGUAAGAAAAUUAAACUGAGGAUAUAGAACAGUAUAUGGUAGUAGUCAGGAUUUGAACCCACAGCAGUCUGCCACCAUGGUCUGUGCUCUGCUGUGCUGUACUAUUUUUCCCUACAUCCUGUACAUGGAGUGAAGAGUUCACAAAGUGGGCACUGUAAAGGUUUCCCUGAGCCUGGGGAAGCAUUUUCUAAAGCAAAGCCAAGAAGUGGACCUAAUUCUUGAGACAUAUAUCCUCUUUGUUUUGUUCUAUAAUUUAUGGUAAAAUAAAAAAUGUGGCUCAAAUGUCCCUCUGUGGUGGUAUCUCCGAGGGAGAGCUGGCACGGAGCUGCCUUUCCCCGGCCUUCCACUGAUCUUCACCCCUGAGGCAUCGGCCAUGAGGAAACGAAGAGGCCAACAGAGCACACCCACUGUUUCAUCACCUCAGCCCACCCUUCAUUUGCAGCUGCACCACUCUCCCUGGGGGCCAGUGAACUUUGUUUUCCUCUCUGUCUGAGUGGCAAUCCAACCAUGUGAAAGAGAAAUAGGAGAAAAGAAGCGUGUGUGUUUUAAAAAAGCAACAAUCAUUUAGUUUUGUGGGGUGAAUUGAUUUACCUCUCAUGGCUCCUUUUAGGAUUUUAGACCUAGAGAAAGAAAGAUUUUGGUGACACAAAAUGGCUUUGAGGUAACUAUUCAAAUCUAACUUCUGCCAAAAAAGAGGAAAAAAAAGAGAUUUGGAAUGGAAAAUCUUUUAGGUGUCUAUUUCUUUUGUAAAUCAAACUUUGGAAACACCAUAGGGCUGUGGGUUUAGAAACAGUUCAGAAGUUCUAGGAAACACCCAUUGAUAACAAUGAGAAAUAUUCCAUGUGUUUACUGGACAAUUUCUACCAUUGGAUCAUUAAGGCAUGCUUUAACUAUGAGGUCACUGAUGUUGUAAGUCUAGAAUUCAGGGGGUGAUCUGUUCCUUAAAGGAGUUCUGACAUGUCUUUGCCCAAGACUUUCAGAUGCUAUGGAUUGAUGCCACUCAGAGUUCUUAACUCAGGGAUAUAAAUCAGGUUGUAGCAUGAAUAAGGUGCGUUAGAAGUCUAACUUUCUGACAUAAGGUAAGAGGGAAAUGAGAUUAUUUAAACAGCCUGUGUUUACGCGGUGGCCAUCUUUUAAUGAAAAUUCUUCUCAAUCCAUUAAAAAAUACUAUUAAAUUAUCAAAUGUAGUUUUGUCCUCUGAAAGACAAAAGGGUAGUGUUUAGGCUAUCUGAAGAAUCCAUUCGACUGACAGAUGCAAACAAAUGCGGUUUUGUUGUCAUCUCUGGAUCCUUCUGAAAGCCCUGUGUACAGAGUUCAAACAGAGAGCCCCAAGAGGGUGGUCAGGAGGGAGAACGGGCUCCCCACUGUGCCAGCUCAUUUACCAUCACCACCCUGGGCUGAGAAGCAGGGCUCGGGGUGCUGUUCCCAGAUUACCUCACCCUGUCCACGUGAUCUUGUAUGCCAGGCUACAUUCUUCUACUCUGCAAUUGGUUUUUACAUAAAACAGUUGAAUAAUGAAACUUAGAACCAGCCUGAGAGGAAAAAAUAUAAAAACAUCUGCCUUUUUUCCUUUUUGACAUUAUUCUGAAGAUGCAAUCAAACAUAAUUUAGCUUUCCAUGCAGUGAUUACACUUUAAAAGUUGUGCCAAUCAUCCAGGUAGAGCUCAACACAGAAUAGGAGGCUGCAGAUGCAAUCUAUGGAGAACACUUAGCAAAGAAUGUUUUUUCUUUUUUUCCACAAUUUAACAUCCACUAAACUGGAUAAUGAGCAAGUAAUAUGUAUGAAAAACAUAUAAUUGAAUAUAUAUGUAUGUAUGUAUAUUUAGAGGCCAGUAUAUUUUGUUUCUUUGUAUUAGUUAUACCUUGAGUCUAUCUUAUGAAUAAGUCAGGUGGGACAUAAUCUAUGAUUCUUUUUACAAGAAUCUACUAUAAACUCUAGCAUUCAUUUACAAUUUAUGUGCCAUAAAAAAGAGGGUAUCAUAUGACUAAAGGUAACCAUCCAAUCCUCAGUCAUUAACAUUAGGCAGCAUUUGGAUGACAAGAGGAAAUUAGAAGGUAAGGACUUUCUAAACUGCCAGAAGAUUAAAUGAAUGGACGACAUGACUGAAUAAUACAGCUGACAUUAUCAAGCACUGUUUUAUCAUGAACGUCCUUUACAAUUCAAUACACACCUCUUAAUAAGAAUAAAAUGAAUCUUUUGGAGAAUUUCAGGAUACACCCACUGUAUGAAAUGAGAAACACCAGCUUGUGUCCGGUGACACUUUUGCCCUUUUGAAGUGAUGGGGUUGACAUUUUCCAGCACUAAUGCUAUAUUUAUUCACGUCUUGGGUUAUCAUUUCAUUGAUCAUUAUUCAGUUCUGUGAAUGAUCACUAUGUUCUUGAAAGACAUUUUACCUUGCUUGUUGCCUCUUAAAUAGAAAUUUAAAAAAAUUAGAAUAUAA
Non-coding RNA from Equus caballus (horse), 6318 nucleotides. Lineage: Eukaryota; Metazoa; Chordata; Mammalia; Perissodactyla; Equidae. The record is from RefSeq and is a predicted model, not a curated record.